GAUGAACGCUGGCGGCGUGCCUAAUACAUGCAAGUCGAGCGAACGGACGAGAAGCUUGCUUCUCUGAUGUUAGCGGCGGACGGGUGAGUAACACGUGGAUAACCUACCUAUAAGACUGGGAUAACUUCGGGAAACCGGAGCUAAUACCGGAUGAUAUUUUGAACCGCAUGGUUCAAAAGUGAAAGACGGUCUUGCUGUCACUUAUAGAUGGAUCCGCGCUGCAUUAGCUAGUUGGUAAGGUAACGGCUUACCAAGGCAACGAUGCAUAGCCGACCUGAGAGGGUGGUCGGCCACACUGGAACUGAGACACGGUCCAGACUCCUACGGGAGGCAGCAGUAGGGAAUCUUCCGCAAUGGGCGAAAGCCUGACGGAGCAACGCCGCGUGAGUGAUGAAGGUCUUCGGAUCGUAAAACUCUGUUAUUAGGGAAGAACAUAUGUGUAAGUAACUGUGCACAUCGUGACGGUACCUAAUCAGAAAGCCACGGCUAACUACGUG
This 497-nucleotide ribosomal RNA is filed under the name uncultured bacterium. Its description in RNAcentral is "partial 16S ribosomal RNA". It matches the Rfam family "Bacterial small subunit ribosomal RNA", at positions 28 to 507 of the family's 1533-position model. The record is from RNAcentral.